RNAcentral lists this long non-coding RNA (1361 nucleotides) under Medicago truncatula (barrel medic). RNAcentral describes it as "long non-coding RNA (MTRU_LNC008430)". The record is from RNAcentral. Lineage: Eukaryota; Viridiplantae; Streptophyta; Magnoliopsida; Fabales; Fabaceae.
AGAAAUUAGUGUUAUUUUGGAAUUUGGGGGGUUAAUUAGGAUUUAUUAGAAUUAAAGAGGAGUUAAUUGAAAAUAGAGGGAAGUUACUUUCUGGGAGUUAAGUAAAGAGAAUAUUAGAAAAAAACUGUUUUACGUGAAAUCAACUUUUGGGAGAAAAGGGAGAGAAGAGCAAGUAGAGCCAAGGAACCAAUUUGCUGUGCAUUUCUUGCAAUUGAAUUAAGGUAAGGGUGAGUUUUACUUUCAAUAGUAUAAAUUGUAAUUCUGAUUUUGAUUUAACAUGUUUCUGGUAGAAAUUGAGAAAUUUCGGAUUAGGUUUUGAUUAUUGAUUUUUGAAUGAAAAAGUGUAGAAACCAUAGAAUUGAAUGGUGAAAAGAGUGGUUAAUCAGGUAGGUUAGUGAUGGGUUAACGUUUUAAUGAUAGGGUGAUCAUAUGGUGAUGAUUAUGGAUGAUUUUGGAGAGUUUAGGGUUAAGAAUUGGAGCCAAGGAGGCUCCCAUGGUAGGAAAUCGCAGAAAAAUCUGCAAUUUCAAUAUGUCUGAUGCUGUCGAAAUCAUGAGGCGAUCCCAGUGAUCGUGAGGCGAUUUUGACAGAAAAUCUGUAAUUUCAAUAUGUCUGAUGCAUACCCUGUUUCAUGUUCGUGAGUCUUUUUCACACGUUUCUGUUUUGAGUUGGCCUUGGGUGUGAACAUGAAAGAUGAUGAUGUUUAAGCAUGAUUAUGAUUAAUUAUGCAAUUUUUUGGAAUUACUGAAUUGAUUCUGAUGAUUGUUGUUGAUUGAAUGUAUGCUUUUAUUGAAUUAAGUUAUACAUGGGUUGCAUUAUGGAGUUGUGAGUCAUAUACAUAUAUAUGCAUUUGGUCGAGUUGUAUGUAGAUAUACACAAGUGAGUCAGUCGCAUAUGCAUAAAAGCGGGAGGGCUUCUGCCCUAGAACGCCUUGUCGUUCAAAGCGGGAGGACUUAUGUCCUGGAACACCUUGUUGUUCAAAGCGGUGAGGACUUAUGUCCUGAUGAAUGCUUUAACCAUUCAAAACAGCGGUGAGGGCUUCGGCCCUGAAUAUGGUACUACAUGCAUAUUUGCAUUUGUUGAGGAGUCUAAGAUGUUGUCUUAGCGGUGUUGUCAUGUCAUUUGCAUGAGUCGGUGUUGUUGGUUGUAAAUGCCAUAUUGAUGAUGAUGAUGUUGUUUGAUGGAGUAUAUAUUUAUACACAUAUAAUGAUGAUAUGAUUGAUGAAGACUUGAUUUGAUGAUGAUGUGUUUUAUGAAGUAUAUAUUUAUAUAUAUAUAUAUAUGGUGAUGAUCUGAUUAUAUUUAGGGUGUUAGAUUCAAUUGAUGAAUUUUAAUAUCUAUAUUUUAUUGUUGUGAAUCUCAC